RNAcentral lists this ribosomal RNA (466 nucleotides) under uncultured bacterium. RNAcentral's name for it is "partial 16S ribosomal RNA". It matches the Rfam family "Bacterial small subunit ribosomal RNA", at positions 28 to 507 of the family's 1533-position model. The record is from RNAcentral.
GAUGAACGCUGGCGGCGUGCUUAACACAUGCAAGUCGAACGAUGAAGCCCAGCUUGCUGGGUGGAUUAGUGGCGAACGGGUGAGUAACACGUGAGUAACCUGCCCUUAACUCUGGGAUAAGCCUGGGAAACUGGGUCUAAUACCGGAUAGGAGCGUCCACCGCAUGGUGGGUGUUGGAAAGAUUUAUCGGUUUUGGAUGGACUCGCGGCCUAUCAGCUUGUUGGUGAGGUAAUGGCUCACCAAGGCGACGACGGGUAGCCGGCCUGAGAGGGUGACCGGCCACACUGGGACUGAGACUCGGCCCAGACUCCUACGGGAGGCAGCAGUGGGGAAUAUUGCACAAUGGGCGCAAGCCUGAUGCAGCGACGCCGCGUGAGGGAUGACGGCCUUCGGGUUGUAAACCUCUUUCAGUAGGGAAGAAGCGAAAGUGACGGUACCUGCAGAAGAAGCACCGGCUAACUACGUG